ACUCAAAUGAAUUGACGGGGGCCCGCACAAGCGGUGGAGCAUGUGGUUUAAUUCGACGCAACGCGAAGAACCUUACCUGGGUUUGACAUGCAUCGGACCGGUGGUGAAAGCCACCUUCUCUUCGGAGCCGGUGCACAGGUGCUGCAUGGCUGUCGUCAGCUCGUGUCGUGAGAUGUUGGGUUAAGUCCCGCAACGAGCGCAACCCUCGUCCUCUGUUGCUACCGGGUAAUGCCGGGCACUCUGAGGAGACUGCCCCGGUGAACGGGGAGGAAGGUGGGGAUGACGUCAAGUCCUCAUGGCCUUUAUAUCCAGGGCUACACACGUGCUACAAUGGUCAGGACAAUGGGUCGCUCCCUCGCAAGAGGUUGCCAAUCUCAAAAACCUGAUCCUAGUUCGGAUGGUCGGCUGCAACUCGCCGGCCUGAAGCUGGAAUCGCUAGUAAUCGGAGAUCAGCACGCUCCGGUGAAUACGUUCCCGGGCCUUGUACACACCGCCCGU
RNAcentral lists this ribosomal RNA (498 nucleotides) under uncultured bacterium. Its description in RNAcentral is "partial 16S ribosomal RNA". It matches the Rfam family "Bacterial small subunit ribosomal RNA", at positions 899 to 1397 of the family's 1533-position model. The record is from RNAcentral.